RNAcentral lists this non-coding RNA (166 nucleotides) under Eutreptiella gymnastica. The record is from RNAcentral. Lineage: Eukaryota; Euglenozoa; Euglenophyceae; Eutreptiales; Eutreptiaceae.
GGUUUGUCCCCCCCUUUUCCCCAAUUUUUUGUCCCCGUGUUGGGGACAAAGAAUGGGGAAAUAUCACCCCCCCCCUCCCAGAAGGCAGAGGUGGUGUAGCCAUUGCGCCCACACCUGGGCCCUCGAGACGGCAGGGGUUAGGGAGCCUGGGCUGGAGGAGGGAGUG